CGACACAGUGCUGUGAUUGCUGGCAAUGUGAGGGGGACACGAUAACGAGAUUCAGCGCAAACCGCGUCAUCGGCUGCCACUUUUGCUCAGUAAGUGGGUGGCUGUGGGAAAUUGGCAGCCAGCUCCGGGAGAAUUGCCAACUCUUCGGAAGGCUGGGAGUGCCACCCAGGCACGUAUGUACUGCUCUCUGUAUGAGAUUCGCGAUCCUGAACUCUUCCGGCAAAAUCAGGACUGUUAGGAGUUGCAUCCAACAUUUGCUGGUCAGUACCGUGCCAUUAUGGCAUCAGGGUCCUGGCACAAGUCACAAAAGGCCUCAGUACUUCAAGUUUUCCUCAGCUGCAGUAACCAUGACAUCCAUCCAGAUCCUCAUGG
Pseudophryne corroboree (corroboree frog) is the source of this 372-nucleotide long non-coding RNA. RefSeq lists it as uncharacterized. NCBI's taxonomy places the organism in Eukaryota, Metazoa, Chordata, Amphibia, Anura, Myobatrachidae. The record is from RefSeq and is a predicted model, not a curated record. The transcript is spliced from 3 exons.